RNAcentral lists this ribosomal RNA (126 nucleotides) under Triticum aestivum (bread wheat). RNAcentral's name for it is "partial small subunit ribosomal RNA". Lineage: Eukaryota; Viridiplantae; Streptophyta; Magnoliopsida; Poales; Poaceae. The record is from RNAcentral.
AUGGCAGGGUUCGGCAGCCUGGCGCCCAAGACGAAGAACGUGGUGGUGGCAGGCAGGCUGACGGGGUUUGUCUUUGGGGUCUACUACUACACCAUGUGGGUGUUGGGGAACGUUGCAGAAAAUUAA